This 440-nucleotide ribosomal RNA is filed under the name uncultured bacterium. RNAcentral describes it as "partial 16S ribosomal RNA". It matches the Rfam family "Bacterial small subunit ribosomal RNA", at positions 338 to 795 of the family's 1533-position model. The record is from RNAcentral.
CCUACGAGAGGCAGCAGUGAGGAAUAUUGCACAAUGGACGAGACCCUGAAGCAGCGAAGCCGCGUGAGUGAAGACGUAAUUAGUUAUGUAAAACUCUAUCAGCAGGGAAGUAAAUGACGGUACGUGAGUAAGAAGCCCCGGCUAACUACGUGCCGGCAGCCGCGGUAAUACGUAGGGAGCAAGCGUUAUCCGGAUUUACUGGGUGUAAAGGGAGCGUAGACGGCAGUGCAAGUCUGGAGUGAAAGGCGGGGGCUCAACCCCCGGACUGCUCUGGAAACUGUACGGCUGGAGUGCAGGAGAGGUAAGUGGAAUUCGUAGUGUAGCGGUGAAAUGCGUAGAUAUCAGGAGGAACACCAGUGGCGAAGGCGGCUUACUGGACUGUAACUGACGUUGAGGCUCGAAAGCGUGGGGAGCAAACAGGAUUAGAUACCCCAGUAGUC